GCCGGGAUGGCGGAAUUGGUAGACGCGCCAGAUUUAGGUUCUGGUAUCGAAAGGUGUGCAGGUUCGAGUCCUGUUCCCGGCACCU
Molecule: transfer RNA, 85 nt
Filed under: Verrucomicrobiaceae bacterium
Lineage: Bacteria; Pseudomonadati; Verrucomicrobiota; Verrucomicrobiia; Verrucomicrobiales; Verrucomicrobiaceae
Description: tRNA-Leu
Rfam family: tRNA
About the family: Transfer RNA (tRNA) molecules are approximately 80 nucleotides in length. Their secondary structure includes four short double-helical elements and three loops (D, anti-codon, and T loops). Further hydrogen bonds mediate the characteristic L-shaped molecular structure. tRNAs have two regions of fundamental functional importance: the anti-codon, which is responsible for specific mRNA codon recognition, and the 3' end, to which the tRNAs corresponding amino acid is attached (by aminoacyl-tRNA synthetases). tRNAs cope with the degeneracy of the genetic code in two manners: having more than one tRNA (with a specific anti-codon) for a particular amino acid; and 'wobble' base-pairing, i.e. permitting non-standard base-pairing at the 3rd anti-codon position.
Source: RNAcentral